CCUACGAGUGGCAGCAGUGAGGAAUCUUGGUCAAUGGGCGAAAGCCUGAUCCAGCCAAGUCGCGUGAAGGAUGACGGCCCUACGGGUUGUAAACUUCUUUUGUCAGUGCGCAGUUGGGUCCACGCGUGGGCUUAGCGAUAGUACCUGCAGAAAGAGCAUCGGCUAACUCAGUGCCAGCCGCCGCGGUAAUACGGAGGAUGCGAGCUUUAUCCAGAUGGAUUGGGUGAAAAGGGUGCGUAGGCGGAAUAUCAAGUCAGCGGGAAAAAUUCGUGGCGCAACCCCGUCGUGCCGUGGAUACUGAUGUUCUUGAGUGGGCGAGAGGUAUGCGGAAUGCGUGGUGUAGCGGUGAAAUGCAUAGAUAUCACGCAGAACUCCGAUUGCGAAGGCAGCAUACCGGCGCCCAACUGACGCUGAAGCACGAAAGCGUGGGUAUCGAACAGGAUUAGAUACCCUAGUAGUC
Molecule: ribosomal RNA, 460 nt
Filed under: uncultured bacterium
Lineage: Bacteria
Description: partial 16S ribosomal RNA
Rfam family: Bacterial small subunit ribosomal RNA
Source: RNAcentral